RNAcentral lists this ribosomal RNA (1104 nucleotides) under Pyrenopeziza eryngii. Its description in RNAcentral is "LSU rRNA". It matches the Rfam family "Eukaryotic large subunit ribosomal RNA", at positions 75 to 1117 of the family's 3401-position model. Lineage: Eukaryota; Fungi; Ascomycota; Leotiomycetes; Helotiales; Ploettnerulaceae. The record is from RNAcentral.
UUACCUCAGUAACGGCGAGUGAAGCGGUAACAGCUCAAAUUUGAAAGCUAGCUCUUUAAGGGUUCGCGUUGUAAUUUGUAGAAGAUGCUUCGGGUGUGGCCCCGGUCUAAGUUCCUUGGAACAGGACGUCAUAGAGGGUGAGAAUCCCGUAUGUGACUGGGUGCUUUCGCUCAUGUGAAGCUCUUUCGACGAGUCGAGUUGUUUGGGAAUGCAGCUCAAAAUGGGUGGUAAAUUUCAUCUAAAGCUAAAUAUUGGCCAGAGACCGAUAGCGCACAAGUAGAGUGAUCGAAAGAUGAAAAGCACUUUGGAAAGAGAGUUAAACAGUACGUGAAAUUGUUGAAAGGGAAGCGCUUGCAACCAGACUUGCGCGCCGACGAUCAUCCGGGCUUCUGCCCGGUGCACUCGUCUGCGCUCAGGCCAGCAUCGGUUUCGGUGGUGGGAUAAAGGCCUUGGGAAUGUAGCUCCUCUCGGGGAGUGUUAUAGCCCUCGGUGCAAUGCCGCCUACCGGGACCGAGGACCGCGCUUCGGCUAGGAUGCUGGCGUAAUGGUUGUAAGCGACCCGUCUUGAAACACGGACCAAGGAGUCUAACAUCUAUGCGAGUGUUUGGGUGUUAAACCCAUACGCGUAAUGAAAGUGAACGGAGGUGAGAACCCUUAAGGGUGCAUCAUCGACCGAUCCUGAUGUCUUCGGAUGGAUUUGAGUAAGAGCAUAGCUGUUGGGACCCGAAAGAUGGUGAACUAUGCGUGAAUAGGGUGAAGCCAGAGGAAACUCUGGUGGAGGCUCGCAGCGGUUCUGACGUGCAAAUCGAUCGUCAAAUUUGCGUAUAGGGGCGAAAGACUAAUCGAACCAUUCAGAAAUGGCAAUCUAACAAUUGUUUUUGCUACUAGGUGGUUAAGAGAUGCCUUAAAGUGGUAUUUAGUCCUUUUUAGGGCAACACUGUCAAAUUGCGGGGGAUGUCCUGUUUAAAAUUCCUAAACCUACUGCCAGCUUUCCCUGAAAAGGGGUUAGGCGGCGGCACUCGGCUAAAUGGCUCCUGGGGAAUUGCUUAAAAACGAUUAGAUAGGAUAAUCGCAGCUAGUCGUAGAUCCUACGGAUCUACGGAC